UAACCCUUGUGGAGGAGGACGCCGAAGGUGGGGCUAAUGACUGGGGUGAAGUCGUAACAAGGUAGCCGUACCGGAAGGUGCGGCUGGAUCACCUCCUAACAGGGAGACAACAAAAUGUUAAAUAUUAAUUUUGUCACCUUAGGUCGAUCGGUAUCUCACAUCCUUAAUUCAUUUAAGGAUUUUAUUUCCUAAGUUUUUUCUAGGUCACACCCAUUAUUUCCCUGGGCCAUUAGCUCAGGUGGUUAGAGCGCACCCCUGAUAAGGGUGAGGUCCCUGGUUCAAGUCCAGGAUGGCCCAUAUCUCUAUGUUGGGGGUAUAGCUCAGUUGGUAGAGCGCCUGCUUUGCAAGCAGGAUGUCAGCGGUUCGAGUCCGCUUACCUCCACUGAUUACCACCUCUUCCAUAAUUUUUGAAGGGAAAUUUUUUGAGUUGUGACUAAAUUCUGAACGAAUCUAGCUUCCUAAUCUAAUUUAUUAAGAUGCUGGACUCAUUGAAUUGAUUUCAUUGUUUUCAGAGAACCUUGACAACUGCAUAGAUUAUUUUUAAAGACAAUAAGCAUCUUUAAUGAUGCAGAUUUAUUAUUUGUGCGAAUGCAUUAAUAACAAUUCUAUUAAGCUGAUGCUUCAAUUUUUGAAGUUAUUGGUCAAGCUACAAAGGGCUCACGGAGGA
This 667-nucleotide unclassified non-coding RNA is filed under the name uncultured Prochlorococcus sp. Its description in RNAcentral is "partial may contain 16S ribosomal RNA, 16S-23S ribosomal RNA intergenic spacer, and 23S ribosomal RNA". The stretch from base 1 to 99 matches the Rfam family "Bacterial small subunit ribosomal RNA", at positions 1436 to 1533 of the family's 1533-position model. Lineage: Bacteria; Bacillati; Cyanobacteriota; Cyanophyceae; Synechococcales; Prochlorococcaceae. The record is from RNAcentral.